AAGUAAGUCAGUAUAUUGGGAUGUUUCCCGCACAUUCAAUGGCAGGAAUGAAGGAAAAGCAAAAGGGGGAUAUAAAUCCCCCUUUUUAUACUAACU
This is a small RNA of Buttiauxella agrestis ATCC 33320, 96 nucleotides long. It matches the Rfam family "sraA". The record is from Rfam. Lineage: Bacteria; Pseudomonadati; Pseudomonadota; Gammaproteobacteria; Enterobacterales; Enterobacteriaceae.